GUAUUUAUUAAAAGACAGAGGUUAGCACUCCCCUUGACAAAAAUGGAAGAGGCCCUUGGGCUAAAAACACACAUAAGGUUAAGGCAUUGUCAACUACUUCGUGACAUUCAACCACUGUUUUUA
RNAcentral lists this non-coding RNA (123 nucleotides) under Microtus ochrogaster (prairie vole). The record is from RNAcentral. Lineage: Eukaryota; Metazoa; Chordata; Mammalia; Rodentia; Cricetidae.